ACUCAAAUGAAUUGACGGGGGCCCGCACAAGCAGCGGAGCGUGUGGUUUAAUUCGACGCAACGCGAAGAACCUUACCAGGGCUUGACAUGCCCCGUUCAGCCCCCGAAAGGGGGUGGCCCGCGAGGGCGAGGGGCACAGGUGCUGCACGGCUGUCGUCAGCUCGUGCCGUGAGGUGUUGGGUUAAGUCCCGCAACGAGCGCAACCCCUGGCGGCAGUUGGAUGUUCUGCCGCGACUGCCGGUGGCAAGCCGGAGGAAGGCGGGGAUGACGUCAAGUCAGCGUGGCCCUGACGUCCUGGGCGACACACACGCUACAAUGGCCGGUACAGCGCGUAGCGACCCCGCGAGGGGAGGCGAAUCGCUCAAAGCCGGCCUCAGUUCAGAUUGCAGGCUGCAACUCGCCUGCAUGAAGGCGGAGUUGCUAGUAACCGCGGGUCAGCACACCGCGGUGAAUACGUUCCCGGGCCUUGUACACACCGCCCGU
Molecule: ribosomal RNA, 483 nt
Filed under: uncultured bacterium
Lineage: Bacteria
Description: partial 16S ribosomal RNA
Rfam family: Bacterial small subunit ribosomal RNA
Source: RNAcentral